Molecule: non-coding RNA, 756 nt
Organism: Labrus bergylta (ballan wrasse)
Lineage: Eukaryota; Metazoa; Chordata; Actinopteri; Labriformes; Labridae
Source: RefSeq, a predicted model, not a curated record
GUUGGAUCAAUAUCUCAUGCAAUAAUGUUUCCUCCUCUGUCAUUAUUUUCCUUCUUAUUGAACAUUAUUUCAUUUUAAUCAGUAUCUUCUUCUUUCAUCAGGAGAAUGAAUCCGCUGCCUGUUCCUUGUACCAAAAACAUCCAGGACUGUUUAAACCCAUAUACACUUCAAAACAUCCACAACAUCUUCAGAGGAGAACAUCAAGGAGAACUGCAGAAGAGCUGUGCAGACACUUGGCAGUGGUUGGAGUGGUUAUCCUGUCGUGUGUCGUCCUGAGGAUUCGCCCCGAGUUUCCUGACCCGACUGGACAGUAUGUUGGCUUCCGCCCGCCCCUUGACUACACCUGGACACGUGUCGAGCCACCCAUCCUUCUUUUUGAGAGUCCGGCAUUUUCUGCAGCUCCUCCAUGAAUGGUUCUGGUUCCUGAAACACCUCCUCCAACACCAGUGCCAUCAAGUCCCCGACAUAUCCUGUAAAAAAGUAAUUCAAGAACAAAAAUCUAUUUCAUAUUGUUUGGUUAUUGCUCAUUUUUCACAAACAUCUGAAAAAUGAGCUCAGCUAACAAUGCUAUACCUGUUACCGCUUUAGAUGAAAGUUGAUAAAUAGUUUAGUACUGCUCUAAUUUAGAAAAAUAGCAUUACUUAGCAUGUUAGCCGAGGCUUACAGUUCAGCUACAGACAGACUCCACAGAACUAAUGUAUCCAGCAGCUCAAAAGUUGUUUUCAAACAAAUAAAAAAGACAAUUAAUGAAGCGUA